Molecule: non-coding RNA, 1004 nt
Organism: Podarcis lilfordi (Lilford's wall lizard)
Lineage: Eukaryota; Metazoa; Chordata; Lepidosauria; Squamata; Lacertidae
Source: the annotation of a GenBank genome assembly
AGAUGCCACCUGGAGUGCCCUGUGCCCCCUAAGUGAGCCUGCUACCCUCAGGUGCAGCGAAGGCCACUGCUCUGGUGUUGAUUCAGUUGCCAGUCUUGUUGGCUUCUGAACAUGGAAUUGGCAGCGUCAUCUUCUAGGCCACCUCAGCCAGGUAAAUGUCCUGGGUUAGACCUUAUUCUGAUGAUCACCUGAAUGCUGCCCCACCUGUGCAGGUGGGGUGGGAAGGUUGGCAUUGCUUAUUCCGCCACUCCUCCCCUUCAAUUUGCUCACUGUUUUUCUUUCCAACAUAUCUUCUCAGUAUCUGCAGCAGCACACCUUCCAAAGCCACUAUCGUGGAAUCUCACAGAGAGGAGAACACUGUCUUUCAUUUCCUUAUUUGCUGACGUUUUAUUUCCCUUCCUUUCCCCCCCGGUAGAAAACUGCACUUCAUUGCAAAAUAAUACUCAGGGUGCCUAGUUAUGGAAAGGUUUCGUGCUUCUGUGGAUACACGCCUAAUUGAAAACACAUUUUUAAAUAACGCUCUGCAACCAUUAAUAUUCCACUGAAUUUAUAUACUGUGUUAAUUGUAACAUAUUACAUUACCUCUGUUGCCAAAAUUCAACACUAAUCUGGUUUGAAAACAGCUACGAGAAGUGGGAGUGAGGACCUUGGAACUGACCAUCAACAGUGGACACAGACUGAGCAGAAAUACAGGUCUUUACCACUAUACUGAGGUGGGUUGUAUUUCAAUUUAAAUUAAAGUGAUUGUUUCUAAAUCGGCAUCUGCUUGUUUAUUUAGUAUAUUGCACUCUUCCUUCCAAAGGACCUCAGGAUGGCAACCAUUGAGUGAGAAGAACAAUUUUUUAAAAAUCAUAAAAACAAUUCCAAUGCAGGUGAAGACUAGAAAAGAUAUCAACUUCACAGACUUGAUGAAAGAUGAAGGUCCUCAGUAGAUCUACAAAAUGCAAAUUUUAUGCAAAUAUGUGACCCCUUUAUCUUCUCUCUCUCUCUCUCUGGUGUGUGAC